Molecule: long non-coding RNA, 515 nt
Organism: Suricata suricatta (meerkat)
Lineage: Eukaryota; Metazoa; Chordata; Mammalia; Carnivora; Herpestidae
Exons: 2
Source: RefSeq, a predicted model, not a curated record
AACAACAGAACAGGCAGGCAGGCUGUGUUUGGCCCCCAAACUGCUUGCAGAGCCCGAAAGCUUGGGAGUAAAUACCAUUUCUUUGGCACCUUGUGAAAAGAUAUAAACACUCCGUAUCUCACCACGUUGUUAGUCUAUGGGUCCCACACUCCAGCAUACUUACACAUUACCGGGAAAGAGAGGGGAGAGGGCAGAGAGGACUGUGCCGAGGUGUUCAGAGAGAAGAAUUCGGGAUUCAAGCUGCAGAGGUGCGGAGGAAAGGGAGGGGAGGGCAGCCCAGAAAACAAGGGAGCUGCUCUGCCUGAGUUUCGGAAGAGAGGGCGUAGAAGACACACACACAUCUAAUUCCUUGCCUUGGCUGGAUAACUCGGCUGCGAAAGGUUUGGACACAGUGAGAAGUCGCUGUCUACACGUGAGGAAGAGAGCCCUAACUAGGAGCCAAAUCAGCUGGCACCUUGGUUUUGGACUUCCCAGCCUACAGAACUGUGAGAAAUAAAUGCCUAUUUUUUAAGACA